UCUUGGUCAAUUAGAGGAAGUAAAAGUCGUAACAAGGUUUCCGUAGGUGAACCUGCGGAAGGAUCAUUAUAGAAUAAACACUGCUUGACUGUUGCUGGCUCUUAACGAGCAAUUGUGCACGUCUAGCAAGUCUUAUCCACCUGUGAACCUUUUGUAGAUAUGAAAACAUCACUUCGAGAUAUUUCGGUUAGAGGAUUUGCAAUGUACUUGCUAUCUUUGGAUGUCUUUCAAUCUAUGUAUUUUUACUAUACCCUUACAAAAAAAGUAAUAGAAUGUAUACUUAUUGGCCUUUGCGCCUUUAAAAACAAUACAACUUUCAACAACGGAUCUCUUGGCUCUCGCAUCGAUGAAGAACGCAGCGAAAUGCGAUAAGUAAUGUGAAUUGCAGAAUUCAGUGAAUCAUCGAAUCUUUGAACGCACCUUGCGCUCCUUGGUAUUCUGAGGAGCAUGCCUGUUUGAGUGUCAUUAAAUUAAAUCAAACUUUUUUACUUUUGUGUAAAGGUUUGGACUAUGGGGGUUUUGCAGGUUUGUUAACUAGUCUGCUCCUCUUAAAAUUAUUAGCGGAAAGCAUUGUGAAAAAGUUUCCUGGUGUGAUAAUUAUCUACGCCACACUUUGCUCACUUGAAAAGCUUCGCUUCUAACUGUUGUAUCAACAACACUUUGAACAAUUUGACCUCAAAUCAGGUAGGACUACCCGCUGAACUUAAGCAUAUCAAUAAG
RNAcentral lists this ribosomal RNA (720 nucleotides) under Rugosomyces obscurissimus var. conicosporus. RNAcentral describes it as "eukaryotic LSU rRNA". The stretch from base 312 to 465 matches the Rfam family "5.8S ribosomal RNA". Lineage: Eukaryota; Fungi; Basidiomycota; Agaricomycetes; Agaricales; Tricholomataceae. The record is from RNAcentral.